RNAcentral lists this long non-coding RNA (6903 nucleotides) under Triticum aestivum (bread wheat). Its description in RNAcentral is "long non-coding RNA (TAES_LNC018470)". Lineage: Eukaryota; Viridiplantae; Streptophyta; Magnoliopsida; Poales; Poaceae. The record is from RNAcentral.
AAACGAUGAUUUAUUUAUUGAUAUGAUCAAAUGAUGUAUAUAAGAAAUUUUGUGAUGAUAUAAAUUGAAUGCAACUAGGUAGGUAGGUUCAGUUGCAAGAAAGGGAAUCAAAUCUGCUCAUAACCAAAUCUGCAUUGCACUAGUGGCACGACAGUGCUAAUUUCAGUUGACUACAGACACAAAGCACACGUGGUUUCACAUUAGUUUCGGAAACACAAACACAACAUUCUAAAUAAGCAAAAUGUUAGAAUUAAACACACAUGUUUAAUUGGAAGGGAAUCUCCCCUUGUUAACUGCCAUGCCGUUGCCAUCAGGCAACCGACACGCCUCUCCCUUCGCGUCCCUCUGUAUCGUCGCGUCCCUACGGGAUGUAUAUAUUGUAACAAACCCAAUCAAUUAGAACAACGAUUCCACUACUUAGUCAAUUAUCUAUCGCUUACUUUGCAAUACGUUAUCAGCACGCUCCCGGCAGAGCGAUUCUAUCGGCGCCUGGCUACGACCUCGCUCGCUCGCGAGUUCAACGACCGCGGCCCUCGGUUCGGCGUGGUGGCGCCUGCUACCGCGGCGGCCAUCAGCCCGGCAAAAACGCUUCCAAGCGGCAGCCUCAAAACUUCGCGCCUCGCACCCUCGUCGCCAGCCGUGGCCACGCCCGCCCACGCCGUGGCCGUUCCUGGCCGCGUCGGCGCUGCUCCCCGGCCUCCCCAGCCGCGCCCCGCGCCAGGUCGUGGCCAUGCUUGCAUGCUUGCUGUGCUGCCAUGGAAUAGCCAAUCUAGCACUUUCUGUGUGGAUUGCUGACCGGCGACGGAUAGAGCGAGAUGCAUCAGAUCUUGGUCUGACGGGGGGCCUGCGGUGCUGAGAUGUGGACCUGCAUGCCUCGCGCCAUCGCCAUCUGGCCGCGCGGGCCGCCCCGCGCCUCGGCCGCCACACUGCCGCGCCGCCGGACUCGCGCCCUCCACGCCGCGCCCCAGACCACGGCCUCCGCGCUGCGACGCGCCCCCGUGCCCGGCCGCCCGUCUGCGCGCCCUCCUGCCCGUGGCCGCGCCGCGCUCCCGCGCUCAGCCGCGCCCUUGCGCGCGCCUGUCCUGCACCCGUGCCGCGGCCCCCCUGGCUUCGUGCCCGUGGCGCUCGCAGAACACGCCGACGCCAACGCGGGCCGGAGCAGCCUCGCGGAGAGGUUUUACGGCCGCACCAUGGCCGCCAUCGACCACCGCGCCAGGACUUGAGCACGGCCAGCCGAUCGAGGUCGUCAUAAUCGACGACGACGACGAGGCCGCGGCGCUGCCGUCUCCAACCCCUGCGGUUGUUGAAGCCGAAGCCAGCGAUGUGGUUGUCGAUGCGGACACUGUCGGGCCGUCGCGCCUGCCGUCCCCACCGUCCCGCUGGAGAGUCCGCAGUCGAGCAGCCGCUCCAGCCGCGCAGCAGCGGUGCUCACGCUCGCGGAUGGCGCCUACAACGGCGUCGCACCCGGCACCCACCUCCGCGGUGGCUCCUCCUCCAGGACGAGCGCGGCAGGAGAUCUUCUCAUCGGUGAUACGGCCGGUCAGCCGGCGCUGGGGGGUCUCCGCCGGUCUCCGCUCUGGAUUUGGGAUUGAAGUGACUCGGGAAUUCGUAGACCUGUUUAUUUCAUCUAGUCGCUCUCCCUUAUCUACUCGGUUUGACCAGGCCGAGGCUGCCUUACGUGAUACGUGGCCAUAUGCAUGCGCUGGGAAUUUAGGCAUCCAGCAUAGCAUGCCACGUUUUGCUUAUUUGCACAUUUGUUUCAGCAGAUUAGCAUCUACCCCUCCGUUCCUAAAUAUCUGUCUUUCUAGAGAUUUCAAAUGGUCACCACAUUCGGAUGUAUAUAGACAUAUUUUAGAGUGUAGAUUCACUCAUUUUGUUCCGUAUAUAGUCACUAUUUGAAACCUCUAGAAAGACAAAUAUUUAGGAACGGAAGGAGUAGACCCGUGUGACUAACAUCAUUUCUAGUCACUGUUUUAGACCUGUUUAUUUCAGUUUCAGUAUUGUUUUUUGUCUAGUAACUUAUAUUCCAGAACAUAUGUGUGAUGUGAUAUAUUUCCAUGUCCUACAUGUUGAAAUUAUACAUCCACAAUUUGCAAUUGAGAUUUUUUUAAUCUCUUGCAAUGAUAAAUUCAGUACCUCUGAAGUACGGUUUCUCCGUUGAGUGCGAGGUAUUCCGGAAUAUUUCUAUGAUGUAUUUAUUUCCAUGAUAACCACAUGUCGAGAUUAAUACGUCUAUUUGCAAUUGAGAUUUUCAAUUUCUUGCAAAUACGGAUGCAAAAUUCAAGGUGAUUUCUUCAAAUUGAUGCUUGAGAUCACAAGAUAGUCAUAUAGAUCUACUGCCUACGCAGAUUAUCAAUGACUACUGUUAAAGCCUACAUUUUGUCAUUUCGACAUUAUGAUUGCUUUACAAAGUGCUCUCCCACAUAUGUUACUAUGUUGUGACAUAAGGCAUUACGAGUGAGUAUCUAUUGAUUUCAUCAGAUUAUACUCCCUAGUGCUGCGAGAUUACUCUAUUUUGGAGAUUAUCUUUAAAGUGACAUACUUAGCAAUUUGAGAUUCACACUAAUGGUUUCAAGCUAAGUUCUUGAAAUAUCCAUUAAUUUUGCAAUAUUCAUUACAACGGUAACCAUGAUGGUCUUUAAUUUACUGAUAGUAAAUUAAUUAUCUUUGGUAACCGAUGGCUAGAGAAUUUAAGGCAUUCGCCUUCACUGGCCACCACUGCACUACCUGGGCCAUGAACAUCAUGAUUGCUCUUGUGUCUCGUGGGAUAAUGUGUGGAAUUCAAGACCUGUCAGAUUCACCUACGGUUGGAGUCACACCACUAACAGAAUAAAAAUGUUGCCUUAUGCAUCAUAAGGCAUUAUAUCGAUCCAGAUAUCAACAUCUGCUUAUUCUGUAUUAGCAAUCCCUGUGAUACAAAGGACCUCAAGAGUAAAGGUUUGAAGCUCACUUCAACCUUCAACCCCGACAUCAUUGAAGGUGACGGGACCCUUUGGGCAUGGAGAACGUGAUGGUUGAAUAUGUCUCAACCGACAUGUUUGGAGACUAUGAACAGUCUCUCAAUCUCCUCAGUGGUCAAUAUAAUUUAUGUCCAUUUACGAUGUUGUAACAACAACAUAAGUAUUGUUGUCAUCAUAUAUUGUAUAUCACAAUAUAUUGUAUCAGCACUUUGAUACAAAUUCAUUUGUAUGUAUUCUAUAUAUCCGACAGUGAUUUUCUUGAGAAUCUUCAUGUCUAUAUAUAGAUUUCUACGGGAGUCAAUCCGAUGAAAAAUGAUAUGUGCCUUGUGGGCAUAUGCACCACAAACUCUAUACUCAAGGAAGUCCAAUGUUUCCACUCUCAUUGAGAGAAAGGAGAUAUUUUAAAAUCCCUAGACGCGAUGAGGUAUUUGUUGGCACAACUCGAGUCACAUUUACUAUCCCUGUGGGUACUCGAGUAACGUCGGGAUGCUUUAUUGCUUCCCAGGUUUAACUCGUACCCUACUAAACUAUGGAGGUAUCCGUUAAAAUAGUUUUCAUAGAGAAACUUAUGUUGACAAGAAAGAGAAAUACAUUCUCUUUACCAUAUGCAACGGAUAUGGCAAGCACAUUCUCCAUGUAUCAUCUGGAUUGUACUACACAUACUACAAAACCCGUAGCACAUGUUGCGCCCAAGAUAGUUUUCCAAAAUGUCUUGUACAUGAAAAACUUGGCAUACUCGCCUUGGUCAUCGAGACAUUGGGUUGAAACCGAAACUAUUAGCAAUUCCAAUAGUUUAUGAUUAUUAUGAUGCUAAAUUCUAACACCAUUUGGAUUUUAUGUGCACUACAAGUGACACAGGGAAGCUAAUUUUAAGGCUUGCACACCUUAAAGUCUACGCUGAACCACUCAGACUCCUUGAAUGCAUCAAGUUGAGGUAAGUGGCUCUUCCCAUCCAUUGACUAGACUAUUCAGGUAUUCCAUGGUUCUAAAAGACAUAUCAAUAUGAUGGUCUUAAGUGUGUGCUUUAUUCACACGAAACCAUUGGCUCAUUAUCCUGACAUCGAUUUCAAGCAAAUCGAAUGGAUAACAUUGCAUAAUUCUCCUUGAGUGCCUUCUCUAUGGCCCUUGGAUUGAAGUUUAGCAAUUUGUCCUAAUGUCUAGACUCAAAAUGGUUUGGUAGAAUAAUACCCAAAGAGUUAAGCUCAUUGCAUUAUCUUUAUUUUGGAAUUGCAACUUACCAACUUUACGUUGGAGUCAUACAGUUUUACACGCUCAUGACAGAACUGCAUAAUAUUAUUCCCCUCUAUCUUUGAUAUGUGGAUAUCUAUCAAGUAUUUCCCAUCUGCGGUAAUUCGGUUGCAUACCGAUAUCACCACCCGGCAUACAUCAUUGGCCCAUCAACAUAUAGCUGGGAUCUAUGUGAGGAAUAACUAUAUUUCCGUCAUACCUCAAGCUCCUCGCAUGGGGAGUUAUUCAAGGCCAGUAUGCUGAUUCAAUGAGGAACAUUUCCAGGCAUUAGGGGGAGAUUUCAAGUACCAUAAAGAAUGCCAGGAAAUUAGUGGAAUGUUCAACACAUUUCUGCCACAAAUCCACGUACUCAAAGAUCUGAACCAUGCGUUCAGAAGAUUUGCAACACAUUGCAAAUAACCUGCCAGAUUCAUUUACUGACUAUAAAGGUGUCAUACAAUCCUACAAUCUUGAAAAAUAUGUCGGAAAGAGUGGAGGUACCAACUAAAACCACUCAACUCCCCAUUCAAAGCAACAGGGGGAGAAGUACAGCAAUAGUAAUCAGGAUUCAGCUUCUCGCAAGCAAGGAUAUCAAGGCCCGUGAAUCAGUAAAUGCAAGUCAACUUCACGUUGACAGACACCUGAUGGGUAGUAUACACCCAGUGGACGGGAAACCUCCACCAACCCAGGUCAUAGUGCACAAAAUGACCGGGACAUCGGAAUACCUGACUCAAUCGCAUUGGGAAAUCGCGAGCAGUCACUAUGGGUAACGAUAUUUCCAUCAAUUAUAUAUUGAUAUAUAGAUUCUGGAGAAACAUAUAACCAGAAGUCUACAAUUGUCGACAUACAUUUCUCAACUAGAUUGAAAAAACCUUUCAAGUGAUUCAGAUCCAAAGACCAUGGCCAUAGCAAAGUGUGAACAACACUCGGACUGAACUCAAGCAAAGGGUAUAAUCUAUCUAGGUAGAAAUAAUCUUGCUCAAUAAUGAGAAGGUACUCAUAAGCAAUACCUACACCAGUUUUCUUCUGGAAAUAGAAUUGAGAACAACGAGGUGGUGAAACAAAGAGCAAAUAUUGUAGCACAAGGGUUCACACAGAUACCCAACUAUUCUCCAGAGGUGGAAUCUCAUUCCGAUAACUUAUAUAAUUGGCAGUUCAAAAUCAUCUAUCUCUGCAGUUGAUAGAUGUAGUGAUUACAUAUCCAUGUAGAUCACUAGAUUCAGAUAUAGAUAGUUCCCAAUGGAACCUCAAUUCUGAAUUGAAGUACAAAAUGCAACAUACAUUGUGUAAACUCAAUAAGUCACCAUAUGACUUAUUAUUAUCGUCGGUACAUUUGGUGCAACCGACGUAGUGAGUUCCUUAUUCACAAGGAUUACUCCUACAAUGAUGAUUAUCCAUGUUUGUGUGUCUGCAAUGACGACACAUGUAAUCAUCUAAAUGACGGAGUUUAAAAUGAAGGAUUUGGGUAAACCAAAAUACCGCUCGUUACUAUAACUUGAGCACCUUCAUUCAUACAUUACGGUAUACUAUGUUGUCUAUAUCCAUAAUAUAUUGGAGAAAUUCAUUGUGGACAAAUCUUAUCCAUCCAUAACUCUCAUGGUAGUUUAUUCUCUAGACAUAAAGAAAGAUCUAUUUAGACCAAGAGAUGAUGGAAAAAAGGAUAUUGGGACUCAACGUUCCAUAAUGCCAUUGGAUCCACCAAACACAAUUGGUUGGAACUCAAGAAUAUCUAUCGAAAUCUCCAAAGGCAUCAAACAUCUUGUCCUGGUUUUUUAGUUUCACAGAAAUGUGAACACCGAUAUCAUUGGAUACAUCGAUUAGAUCCCCACUAUGUCAGAUCGUAGAAAAGCUUAGUGUUCAUACUAGGUGUGGUAGCCCUCUCAUGAAGAGUCUUCCAAACAGACCUCUUGGCUACAUCCAUCAACCAUUAUCGCAAAGAUAAUGUUGCUUGUGUUGCCCGGAUGCAAACAGGUUACGUAAUAAGCAAUAUCGCUAUAUUGCAUAUCUUGCAAGUCAAAUCAUGUGAAUGAUUUGUUCACCAAGUCUCUACCAGCUUCUACAUUCCAGAAAUACAUUCAUGGAAUUGGUAUGUGAUGGCUUCAGAAUUUGCAAGAAUCAGGGGGCGUACCUUCCUGAAUUGUUCCUGUUCAAAGCAUCAUAUUAUACUCUUUUUUCCUUCAUGAGUUUCCUUUAAAGGUUCUUAUAAAGGUUUUUGAUGAGGUAAUAUCAACAUGAGAUCAUAUGCCAUACUUUCUGUUUUCCCCAUCAGGGUUUUUAAGAUAGUAUAUAUGACAUAUUUAUUGUCCUCUAAACUCUGUGAGUUUUCUCGUAUUAAGUUAAAAGAGACAAUAACCAUUAUAUGUUGCAUCAUUUUCUCCUUAUUUUUCCCACUCGGUUUGAAGGAGUUUUAGCAACAUAUUCUACACUACUCAUAUUUUUCCCACAUGGUUUUUGGAGGAGACUCUUUCGAGUUGAUGAUACUACAUGGACAAGCGGAGAUUAGGGGGAGUGUUAGAAUUAAACACACAUGUUUAAUUGGAAGGGAAUCUCCCCUUGUUAACUGCCAUGCCGUUGCCAUCAGGCAACCGGCACGCCUCUCCCUUCGCGUCCCUCUGUAUCGUCGCGUCCCUACGGGAUGUAUAUAUUGUAACAAACCCAAUCAAUGAGAACAACGAUUCCACUACUUGUCAAUUAUCUCUCGCUUACUUUGCAAUAC